This 425-nucleotide ribosomal RNA is filed under the name uncultured bacterium. RNAcentral describes it as "partial 16S ribosomal RNA". It matches the Rfam family "Bacterial small subunit ribosomal RNA", at positions 354 to 796 of the family's 1533-position model. The record is from RNAcentral.
GUGGGGAAUAUUGGACAAUGGGCGAAAGCCUGAUCCAGCAAUGCCGCGUGAGUGAUGAAGGCCCUAGGGUUGUAAAGCUCUUUUACCCGGGAUGAUAAUGACAGUACCGGGAGAAUAAGCUCCGGCUAACUUCGUGCCAGCAGCCGCGGUAAUACGAGGGGAGCUAGCGUUGUUCGGAAUUACUGGGCGUAAAGCGCGCGUAGGCGGUUUUUUAAGUCAGAGGUGAAAGCCCGGGGCUCAACCCCGGAAUAGCCCUUGAAACUGGAAGACUAGAAUCUUGGAGAGGUCAGUGGAAUUCCGAGUGUAGAGGUGAAAUUCGUAGAUAUUCGGAAGAACACCAGUGGCGAAGGCGACUGACUGGACAAGUAUUGACGCUGAGGUGCGAAAGCGUGGGGAGCAAACAGGAUUAGAUACCCGGGUAGUCC